Molecule: transfer RNA, 73 nt
Filed under: Mustela putorius furo (domestic ferret)
Lineage: Eukaryota; Metazoa; Chordata; Mammalia; Carnivora; Mustelidae
Also listed under: 1 other name
Rfam family: tRNA
About the family: Transfer RNA (tRNA) molecules are approximately 80 nucleotides in length. Their secondary structure includes four short double-helical elements and three loops (D, anti-codon, and T loops). Further hydrogen bonds mediate the characteristic L-shaped molecular structure. tRNAs have two regions of fundamental functional importance: the anti-codon, which is responsible for specific mRNA codon recognition, and the 3' end, to which the tRNAs corresponding amino acid is attached (by aminoacyl-tRNA synthetases). tRNAs cope with the degeneracy of the genetic code in two manners: having more than one tRNA (with a specific anti-codon) for a particular amino acid; and 'wobble' base-pairing, i.e. permitting non-standard base-pairing at the 3rd anti-codon position.
Source: Rfam by way of RNAcentral
ACCUGACUGGCUCCAUCGGUGGAGUGUGGGACUUUUGAUCUCAGGAUUGUGAGUUCAAGCCCCAUGUUGGGUG